Long non-coding RNA from Myotis lucifugus (little brown bat), 548 nucleotides. RefSeq lists it as uncharacterized. NCBI's taxonomy places the organism in Eukaryota, Metazoa, Chordata, Mammalia, Chiroptera, Vespertilionidae. The record is from RefSeq and is a predicted model, not a curated record. The transcript is spliced from 5 exons.
CGCAAGCCUAAGCCCAUUGUUGCGCCUGCGCCUUGGUGUCCGGCUUCUGAGAGGAGAGCUGCGCGAGAGGCGACCGUGUUCCUGCCAUUUUGAUUCUUUCUCGCUGGUUGACAUCACCUGUGUGAAAUAUGAGUCGGCAUAUAAUACCAAGGCUCGCCUGGAGUUCAAUACUAGAGGAUGAAGAGUCUGACCAGCCAGUUGGGGCCGUGGUUGACCAGCAGCCCAGGGAUGAACAACCUCAACAAGAGGAGCCACCCACUGAGAGUCAGGAUAUUACACCUGAUGAAGAGAAAGCAGAUGCAGGAGCUCCUGAGGUUCAAGGAAUUGUCCCUGAAGCGGAUCUUGAAGAACUGGCGAAACCACUGACUGGGGUUGAGGGUGGAGAUGAUCCUGAAGUCAUUGGGUAUGCUUGUGCAAAUCCAGAGCCCAUUGAAAUGCCAGAAACAGGGGAAGGAAAACCAGCCAUUUAAAGGAAGAUGAUCUGAAGACACACAGAUUAUUCUUAUGUUGGAUACUUCACUGUUAAAGUUCUCUCAAUAAAGUUUUAC